UACGUAGGUGGCAAGCGUUGUCCGGAAUUAUUGGGCGUAAAGGGCGCGUAGGCGGCACAGCAAGUCGGGAGUGAAAGCCCGGGGCUCAACCCCGGAAUGGCUUUCGAAACUGCUGAGCUAGAGUACAGAAGGGGCAACCGGAAUUCCCAGUGUAGCGGUGAAAUGCGUAGAUAUUGGGAAGAACACCUGAGGCGAAGGCGGGUUGCUGGGCUGAUACUGACGCUGAGGCGCGAAAGCCAGGGGAGCAAACGGG
RNAcentral lists this ribosomal RNA (253 nucleotides) under uncultured bacterium. Its description in RNAcentral is "partial 16S ribosomal RNA". It matches the Rfam family "Bacterial small subunit ribosomal RNA", at positions 524 to 776 of the family's 1533-position model. The record is from RNAcentral.